GGCUUGGUCGGUUAAGCGUCCGACUUCGGCUCAGGUCAUGAUCUCACGGUCCGUGGGUUCGAGCCCCGCGUGGGGCUCUGUGCUGACAGCUCAGAGCCUGGAGCCUGUUUCAGAUUCUGUGUCUCCCUCUCUCUGUGACCCUCCCCUGUUCAUGCUCUCUGUCUCAAAAAUAAAUAAAAACGUUAAAAAAAAAAGUACAUAACAUAUUCUUGAUACCAGACCUUUAAUAUAUGCUUUGUAAAUAUUUUCUCAUCGUCUGCAUAUUGUCAUUUUAUUUUCUUGGUAAUGUCUCUGGAUGCAUGGAAGUAUUAAUUUUUGAUGAAUUGAAUAUAUUAUUUGUUUUUGCUUCUGCUUUAGGAAUCACAUUUAAGAUUCUAUCAUCAAAUCCAAGGUCAUGAAGAUUUAUUCCUAUUUUCUACUGAAAGUUAUAGAGAUUUAACUCUUGUAUUUCGGAUGCUGAUACAUUUUGAGUUAAUUCUGUAGAAGGUGUAAGAACCCACCAAUAAAUCCACUAGCUGUCUCUGCAGAAGCCUGGACUCAAGGUCAACUAAUAUGGUUCCAGCCUAUGAACAAGCAAAGUUCCAUUCAGUUUAUGCCAGUUCUGAGAGCAUGCAAGUAGCUCCUUCUUCUUGUCCUAAGAUAACCUCCUGACAUCAGGGACUGAAUUUUGCCUCAUUUUGAUGUUAACUUUCCACCCCAAAGUGAACAAAGAAUGUAUGUUACAUAUAUGUUUGCUCAAUGAGCAUGUUCCACCUUUCCUCAUGAAUAGUCACAAGUUUCCCCACUCUUUUCUUCAAUAUGUAUGUAAUCUCAACUCCUAUGGUUAUAAAAAACUUGUUCUCUCCACCUUUACGGAGUUGGAUUUGAGGCUUGCCCUCCUGUCUCGUUUGGCUGCCUCUCAAAUAAACCCUUUCCUUACUGCAUACUGUUAUUUUAAAAUGCAUAGAUUCAUCUAAACAACACGAAGCAAAAACUUCUAUAACCAACAAAAUAACUUGUCUACUCUCAUCUCAUACUUAACCUCAGGAAAACAACUUAUUCUGUGUUACUAUACUUUGCUUUUACCAAAACAUCAUCUAUAUAUAGGAAUUUUGAAUAUGGAUUCUUUCACCUACCAAAAUCCAUUUGAAAUUCAUCUAUAUUGCUCAUGUAUCAAUAGUUCAUUCUGCAUUAUUGUUUAGUUUUACAUUAUAUGGAUGUAGCACAUUUUAUUCAUCCAAUACUCUAUUUGAGGGUCAUUCAGGUUUUUUUCCAGUUUGGGCUGACAAAAAAAAAAAAAAAAGCUACUAUGUUUUGAUGGUGCACAACAUUAACGCACAGUUCUAUGUUAGAACACAGAUUAUUUCAACUUGGAUAAAUACCUUUGAGAGUAACUGCUUGGCCAUAUAAUAGAUGUACAUUUAAUUUUCUAAAAAACUGACAAACUGCUUUUACAAAAUACCUGUCUCAUUUGAUAAGCAAUGCAUAGGACUUCCAUUUAUUCUCUAUCUUUAGCAGCACCUUAAAAUGUUGGUUUUUCUUAUUCAGCCAUUCAAGACGUUUAGUGACGUCAUGGUGAUUUUAAUCACCAUUUCCUUAAUGACAAAUGGAUGCUAUUUUUCUAUUUGCUUGUGUAUUAAUAAAAAAUGUAUUUCCA
This is a long non-coding RNA of Neofelis nebulosa (Clouded leopard), 1636 nucleotides long. RefSeq lists it as uncharacterized. The record is from RefSeq and is a predicted model, not a curated record. NCBI's taxonomy places the organism in Eukaryota, Metazoa, Chordata, Mammalia, Carnivora, Felidae. The transcript has 2 exons.